RNAcentral lists this ribosomal RNA (501 nucleotides) under uncultured Oscillibacter sp. Its description in RNAcentral is "partial 16S ribosomal RNA". The record is from RNAcentral. Lineage: Bacteria; Bacillati; Bacillota; Clostridia; Eubacteriales; Oscillospiraceae.
CACGUAGUUAGCCGUGGCUUAUUCAAGGGGUACCGUCUUCUGCUCUUCCCCCUUAAAAGAAGUUUACAACCCGAAAGCCUUCUUCCUUCACGCGGCGUUGCUGGGUCAGGCUUGCGCCCAUUGCCCAAUAUUCCCCACUGCUGCCUCCCGUAGGAGUCUGGGCCGUAUCUCAGUCCCAAUGUGGCCGGCCAACCUCUCAGUCCGGCUACUGAUCGUCGCCUUGGUGGGCCGUUACCUCACCAACUAGCUAAUCAGACGCGAGGCCAUCUUCCAGCGAUAAAUCUUUGGCGUCAGAGUCAUGCGGCUCCAACGCAUCAUGCGGUAUUAGCAGUCGUUUCCAACUGUUGUCCCCCUCUGGAAGGCAGGUUCCUCACGCGUUACUCACCAGUCCGCCACUAAGCAUUCCCAUCCGUUGUCCGAAAACUCCUUCAGGGGUGCUCCGUUCGACUUGCAUGUGUUAAGCACGCCGCCAGCGUUCGUCCUGAGCCAGGAUCAAACUCU